GAGGGAAAGGUGAAAAGCACUUCGAUAAGAAGAGUGAAAUAGUUCCUGAAACCAUGCGCCUACAAGCGGUCGGAGCUGCUUAUGCAGUGACGGCGUGCCUUUUGCAUAAUGAACCUACGAGUUACCGUAUCUGGCGAGGAUAAGCGGCACGAGCCGCGCAUCCGCAGUGAAAGCGAGCCUGAAGAGGGCGCCAUAGUCAGGUGUGGUAGACGCGAAACCAAGUGAUCUACACAUGUCCAGGAUGAAGUCCCGGUAACACGGGAUGGAGGUCCGAACGGAUAAGCGUUGAAAAGCUUCCCGAUGAGGUGUGUGUAGGAGUGAAAGGCCAAUCAAACUUGGAGAUAGCUCGUACUCCCCGAAAGGCAUUUAGGUGCCGCGUGCAGUGUUCUCCCCGAGAGGUAGAGCGACCGAUAGGACGCGAGGGCUUCACCGCCUAUCAAGUCCUGACGAACUCCGAAUGCUCAGGGGACUGUAGCUGCGCAGUAAGGGGACGGGUGCUAAGGUCCGUUCCCGAGAGGAGAAGAAUCCAGACCGCCGUCUAAGGUCCCGGAGUUCUGCCUGAGUUAGUCUAACGAAGUCUGGUCCCCGCGACAGCCAGGAUGUUGGCUUGGAAGCAGCCAUUCAUUUAAAGAGUGCGUAACAGCUCACUGGUCGAGGGUCCGGGCGUGGAUAAUAAUCGGGUAUAAGGCAGACACCGAAGACGCGGGAUAGCAAUGUAUAUUAAAAGUAUCGGUAGGGGAGCAUUCCAUCGGCGUCGAAUGCGGCGAGACGAUCGUCGCUGGAGCUUAUGGAAAAGCAAAUGUAGGUAUAAGUAACGAUAAGGGGGGUAAGAUUCCCCCCCGCCGUAAGACUAAGGUUUCCCGGGCAAUGCCAAUCAUCCCGGGGUCAGUCGGGUCCUAAGGCUCAGCCGAACGGCGAGGCCGAUGGCAGAAAGGGUCAACAUUCCCUUACUGCCGCACGGAGCGACGCGGAGACGGAGGCGUGACACCACCGCGGAGAUACGGAAUUCUCCGUUGAAGGGCGUAGGCGUCGAGGGCGGCAGGCAAAUCCACCGCCCGAGCCGAACCCCGAAAGUAUGCUUUUCCCCUCGGGGAAAGGCAAUAGCGUGGGUAAUCAUACUCCCUAGAAAAUCCGCUAAGCUUCAUCCGUGCGGCACCCGUACCGCAAACGGACACACGUAGUCGGGUAGAACAUACUGAGGCGUUGAGAGAUUCAUGGUUAAGGAACUAGGCAAACUGACCCCGUAACUUCGGGAUAAGGGGUCCUCAUAGCAAUAUGAGGCGCAGAGAAUAGGUCCAGGCAACUGUUUAACAAAAACACAGGGCUGUGCAAACUCGAAAGAUGACGUAUACAGCCUGACACCUGCCCGGUGCCGGAAGGUUAAGAGGAGAGCUCAUCCUUUAAGGUGAAGGUUUGAAUUGAAGCCCCGGUAAACGGCGGCCGUAACUAUAACGGUCCUAAGGUAGCGAAAUUCCUUGUCGGGUAAGUUCCGACCUGCACGAAUGGUGUAAUGAUCCGGACGCUGUCUCAACCAUGAUCUCAGUGAAAUUGUAGUAUCGGUGAAGAUGCCGAUUACCCGCGAUGGGACGAAAAGACCCCGUGAACCUUUACUACAGCUUAGCAUUGAUCUCGGUCAUCCGAUGUGUAGGAUAGGCCGGAGGCUUCGAAGC
RNAcentral lists this ribosomal RNA (1670 nucleotides) under human metagenome. Its description in RNAcentral is "bacterial LSU rRNA". It matches the Rfam family "Bacterial large subunit ribosomal RNA", at positions 505 to 2163 of the family's 2925-position model. The record is from RNAcentral.